GUAAUAUAUCGGAACGUACCCAGAAGUGGGGGAUAACGCAGCGAAAGUUGCGCUAAUACCGCAUACGAUCUACGGAUGAAAGUGGGGGACCUGCAAGGCCUCAUGCUUUUGGAGCGGCCGAUAUCUGAUUAGCUAGUUGGUGAGGUAAAGGCUCACCAAGGCAUCGAUCAGUAGCUGGUCUGAGAGGACGACCAGCCACACUGGAACUGAGACACGGUCCAGACUCCUACGGGAGGCAGCAGUGGGGAAUUUUGGACAAUGGGGGCAACCCUGAUCCAGCAAUGCCGCGUGAGUGAAGAAGGCCUUCGGGUUGUAAAGCUCUUUUGUCAGGGAAGAAACGGUGUUUUCUAAUACAGAGCACUAAUGACGGUACCUGAAGAAUAAGCACCGGCUAACUACGUGCCAGCAGCCGCGGUAAUACGUAGGGUGCAAGCGUUAAUCGGAAUUACUGGGCGUAAAGCGUGCGCAGGCGGUUAUGUAAGUCAGCUGUGAAAUCCCCGGGCUUAACCUGGGAAUGGCAGUUGAGA
RNAcentral lists this ribosomal RNA (527 nucleotides) under uncultured bacterium. RNAcentral's name for it is "bacterial SSU rRNA". It matches the Rfam family "Bacterial small subunit ribosomal RNA", at positions 110 to 632 of the family's 1533-position model. The record is from RNAcentral.